This 76-nucleotide transfer RNA is filed under the name Candidatus Berkelbacteria bacterium RIFOXYA2_FULL_43_10. Its description in RNAcentral is "tRNA-Asp". It matches the Rfam family "tRNA". From Rfam's summary of the family: Transfer RNA (tRNA) molecules are approximately 80 nucleotides in length. Their secondary structure includes four short double-helical elements and three loops (D, anti-codon, and T loops). The record is from RNAcentral. RNAcentral also lists the same sequence under 3 other names. Lineage: Bacteria; Candidatus Berkelbacteria.
GGGGUCGUAGUGUAGCGGUUAUCACGUCUCCCUGUCACGGAGAAGAUCGCCGGUUCGAAUCCGGUCGACCCCGCCA